CAACUUUCAGCAACGGAUCUCUUGGCUCUCGCAUCGAUGAAGAACGCAGCGAAAUGCGAUAAGUAAUGUGAAUUGCAGAAUUCAGUGAAUCAUCGAAUCUUUGAACGCACCUUGCGCUCCUUGGUAUUCCGAGGAGCAUGCCUGUUUGAGUGUCACUA
This 158-nucleotide ribosomal RNA is filed under the name uncultured Cortinarius. Its description in RNAcentral is "5.8S ribosomal RNA". It matches the Rfam family "5.8S ribosomal RNA". Rfam says of the family: 5.8S ribosomal RNA (5.8S rRNA) is a component of the large subunit of the eukaryotic ribosome. Lineage: Eukaryota; Fungi; Basidiomycota; Agaricomycetes; Agaricales; Cortinariaceae. The record is from RNAcentral.